Long non-coding RNA from Amphiprion ocellaris (clown anemonefish), 1012 nucleotides. The record is from Ensembl. NCBI's taxonomy places the organism in Eukaryota, Metazoa, Chordata, Actinopteri, Pomacentridae.
AUGUUUUUGAUUCAGUUUGUUCAAGUUUUGGGUUAUUUUGAACCUUUUGUUUGAGUCAAAGACUAGUUUUAGUAGAAUCCAUGGAUGCUUCCAUGCACUCUUAAAGGAACUUUGUGGAGGUAAAAAGGAGAAUUCUGCACUUUAUUUUCAUUUUGAAGGUCAGAAAUGUAAAGAUUUGUCCUCCUCAUGAUCCAUUCAAUCCCUGGAUCUGCAGUGGUUUGAUUUCUGGAGAUGCCGAACCUUAAAAUGGCUCCAAAUGUUGGUUUUAAGGGUGAAAAUAGCGAAAUUCCCAGAACACCAACAUGACUGGCCUCUGCAGCAACAACCAGAGUUCAGUUUUGAAUCGUCUUCGUGUCGCAGCUCCAGAUUUUUCACCCAGAAGAGAGAAAAUCGACUCUUUUCUGUUUUCAAAUGGAAACUGAACUCUCUCUCUCUCCGUCUAUGUAACUCGCCCGGUUCUGCCUCUUUAUUCCACCAAUCCGGCGUGUCGGUUCGUUUUCAGCCCAGAGGUCGUUCACUCCUCAAACAGACGCCAAACACAGGCUCCGCCCACUUCCUGUUUCUUCCCCAGACCUGCUCUGAUCUCUGCUUUAACCCUUUAAACUCCACACUGGGCUCCAUCCUGUCUGCCUCCAUCUCUGUUACCGUGGUUACAGACGCCACGCAGUUCAUUUAGUUUCACUUUCAGAGAGUUUUAAUUUCAGACCCUUCUGGGGUUUAAGGACAGAUGCUGUUAAAUAAAUGCAGGAUUCUCGUGUUGAUGAAACCAGGCUGAGUUUGUGGUUCUGAGCAGGAAUAUUGUGUUAAACUGGUUUCUAUGAAUGUUGUCCACCUGCAGCAGGUGUUUCCAGGUGAGUCCUUCAUCACUCCCACUGAUGCUGUUUGUCUUUGUACUGUCGCUGCACUUUGUCUGGUAAUAAAUGUGAAGAGCACAAGUCGAUGUAAAAGAAGUUUCUAAUGAGAAUGAAGUGUCGACAGAAACACGACAAAAAGUCUUCGUCUGUUUUUGUUG